Molecule: ribosomal RNA, 498 nt
Filed under: uncultured bacterium
Lineage: Bacteria
Description: bacterial SSU rRNA
Rfam family: Bacterial small subunit ribosomal RNA
Source: RNAcentral
GGCGAACGGGUGAGUAAUACAUCGGAACGUGCCCGAUCGUGGGGGAUAACGAAGCGAAAGCUUUGCUAAUACCGCAUACGAUCUACGGAUGAAAGCAGGGGACCGCAAGGCCUUGCGCGAACGGAGCGGCCGAUGGCAGAUUAGGUAGUUGGUGGGAUAAAAGCUUACCAAGCCGACGAUCUGUAGCUGGUCUGAGAGGACGACCAGCCACACUGGGACUGAGACACGGCCCAGACUCCUACGGGAGGCAGCAGUGGGGAAUUUUGGACAAUGGGCGAAAGCCUGAUCCAGCCAUGCCGCGUGCAGGAUGAAGGCCUUCGGGUUGUAAACUGCUUUUGUACGGAACGAAAAGACUCUGGUUAAUACCUGGGGUCCAUGACGGUACCGUAAGAAUAAGCACCGGCUAACUACGUGCCAGCAGCCGCGGUAAUACGUAGGGUGCAAGCGUUAAUCGGAAUUACUGGGCGUAAAGCGUGCGCAGGCGGUUAUAUAAGACAG